Molecule: transfer RNA, 72 nt
Filed under: bacterium
Lineage: Bacteria
Description: tRNA-Val
Rfam family: tRNA
About the family: Transfer RNA (tRNA) molecules are approximately 80 nucleotides in length. Their secondary structure includes four short double-helical elements and three loops (D, anti-codon, and T loops).
Source: RNAcentral
GGGCGUAUAGCUCAGCGGUAGAGCGUCUCUCUUACACAGAGAAGGUCCUCCGUUCGAAUCGGAGUGCGCCUA